CAACUCAAACGGAACCCUGUUCACACCGCUGUGCCAAUCGUUCUCGGUUUGGACCACCAGCAACACAUAUAUAAUUUGUUUUUAGUAUUUUGAUAAUAAAUCAUUAGUCUCAUAAAGAAUAAAAUGAAUUGAUACCUCUACAACUAGAAUUUUUCAUGAAUGUUCUAUAUGCAUUGCUUGAUGAAUGAUAUCCAAGGAUAGAAGUAUCUUUAUCAGAUUUGGCAUUAUUUUCAUAAGAGCAUAUCAAGUAUAGUAUGUACGACUGAAAAAUAUGAAAGAUAUGCAAUGGUUCAUUUUCCAUUUUUCAGAAGAUCAUAAGGAGUUUUCAUCAAAACUAGAUCUAAUAGAAAUCGUAUGUAUGACAAGCAGUGAUGAUAGUUUUUUUUUAAAAAAAAAAUCAUUUAAGUAGAUGACUAUCAUACACAAUUGUCUUUUUCAUUUCUUCAAGAAUUCUAUUACUCCUAUUUUACUUAUGAUGUCCUUGGAGCUGAAAUAAUCGAGUUUAAUAUUAUUUUCUGUAUAACCUUUAUCAGGAUUUUGGUUUUCAACACUGUGCCAUGAUUCAUAGUUUGGAAACCUUUAUCAUUUGAAGCACUUUCACACGAUUCAGCAAAUACAGAAAAUAUUUUAAGUUUAUUUUCCAAGAAC
Molecule: long non-coding RNA, 648 nt
Filed under: Phoenix dactylifera (date palm)
Lineage: Eukaryota; Viridiplantae; Streptophyta; Magnoliopsida; Arecales; Arecaceae
Description: long non-coding RNA (PDAC_LNC019951)
Source: RNAcentral